Molecule: ribosomal RNA, 700 nt
Filed under: uncultured bacterium
Lineage: Bacteria
Description: bacterial SSU rRNA
Rfam family: Bacterial small subunit ribosomal RNA
Source: RNAcentral
AGAGUUUGAUCAUGGCUCAGAACGAACGCUGGCGGCAGGCUUAACACAUGCAAGUCGAGCGCCCCGCAAGGGGAGCGGCAGACGGGUGAGUAACGCGUGGGGAUGUGCCUGGUGGUACGGAACAACUCAGGGAAACUUGAGCUAAUGCCGUAUAAGCCCUUCGGGGGAAAGAUUUAUCGCCACCAGAUCAACCCGCGUUGGAUUAGCUAGUUGGUGAGGUAACGGCUCACCAAGGCGACGAUCCAUAGCUGGUCUGAGAGGAUGAUCAGCCACACUGGGACUGAGACACGGCCCAGACUCCUACGGGAGGCAGCAGUGGGGAAUAUUGGACAAUGGGCGCAAGCCUGAUCCAGCCAUGCCGCGUGAGUGAUGAAGGCCUUAGGGUUGUAAAGCUCUUUCACUGGGGAAGAUAAUGACGGUACCCAGAGAAGAAGCCCCGGCUAACUUCGUGCCAGCAGCCGCGGUAAUACGAAGGGGGCUAGCGUUGUUCGGAAUCACUGGGCGUAAAGCGCACGUAGGCGGACUUUUAAGUCAGGGGUGAAAUCCCAAGGCUCAACCUUGGAACUGCCUUUGAUACUGGCAAGCUUGAGUGCAGGAGAGGAUGGUGGAAUUCCCAGUGUAGAGGUGAAAUUCGUAGAUAUUGGGAAGAACACCGGUGGCGAAGGCGGCCAUCUGGACUGCAACUGACGCUGAGGCGCGA